Molecule: ribosomal RNA, 832 nt
Filed under: Dendrobium speckmaieri
Lineage: Eukaryota; Viridiplantae; Streptophyta; Magnoliopsida; Asparagales; Orchidaceae
Description: eukaryotic LSU rRNA
Rfam family: 5.8S ribosomal RNA (bases 359-514)
Source: RNAcentral
GAUCGCUGUGAUGCGGGCGGUUCGCCGCCCGUGACUCUGCGAGAAGUCCAUUGAACCUUAUCAUUUAGAGGAAGGAGAAGUCGUAACAAGGUUUCCGUAGGUGAACCUGCGGAAGGAUCAUUGUCGAGACCAAAAUACAUCGAGCGAUUGUGAGAACCGGUCAGAAUAAGCGGUGGCCAUUGCUUCCGUGAUGAAAGCCGUCCGAGCUAUUUCCUCAUCCCCUCGUGGGGCGGGGAUGCGAUAAGGAUGGAUGAACCCUCAAACCGGCGCAGCAUCGCGCCAAGGUAAAAAUUGAAACACGAGUCCUGAAACGGGUUUGGUGGCAUGGGGUGCUGUAGCACUUCGUAUGAUUGUACAUGACUCUCGGCAAUGGAUAUCUCGGCUCUCACAUCGAUGAAGAGCGCAGCGAAAUGCGAUACAUGGUGCGAAUUGCAGAAUCCCGCGAACCAUCGAGUCUUUGAACGCAAGUUGCGCCCGAGGCCAAUCGGCUAAGGGCACGUCUGCCUGGGCGUCAAUCGUUAUGUCGCUCUGUGUCAUCUCCACCCCUCAAAGGUUGGGUUGGCGAUGGCUAGGAAGUGCAGAGUGGCUCGUCGUGCCCCUUGGUGCGGCGGGUUGAAGAUGGGGUCUUUCUCUCAAGGCAACGAACAAUAAGGGGUGGGUUUAAGUUAGGCCUAAACUAUUGUGUCGUGUGUGCCUGAGGGAUGAUUAUACAUGAUUCCAAAUUAUGCGUUGAUCUACGGAUGGCGUUUAGAAUGCGACCCCAGGAUGGGCGAGGCCACCCGCUGAGUUUAAGCAUAUCAAUAAGCGGAGGAGAAGAAACUUACGAGUAUUC